Long non-coding RNA from Rhododendron vialii, 681 nucleotides. RefSeq lists it as uncharacterized. Lineage: Eukaryota; Viridiplantae; Streptophyta; Magnoliopsida; Ericales; Ericaceae. The transcript is spliced from 2 exons. The record is from RefSeq and is a predicted model, not a curated record.
UCUCUUUGUUCAAUGACACGGGUGAAGCAGAUCAACAUACAAAUGCAAAAUUCUAUAUGUAUUGCUUAACCUGCAGUCAAGAUGUGAUAGAUGUAUCUUGUUAAAUUCUGCAGGUUAAGGGUGAGUUCACAAUGGAAUACAAAGAACAUUUACCAGUUUCUCAAGAAGUACAGAUGCAACUUGUGAACAAUCACAAAGCCUCCAAGGCAGCCGAAUAGCCAGGUUCAUGGUUUUGAAGUCCCCAAUGCAACCACAGAGCCGUUUGCAGGGCUAUCUGCAAAUAGUUAGGGUUUUGUUAUGAUCAUUCUCCUAUGCACUUACAUAGCUUCUGUGAAAAUCUGCUAUAGAGGUUUUACAGUUGUUGCAAUAAACACGGUCAUCUUCAUCACAGCAAACGCAGGUUGUUUGUGAUGAAGAUGAAUGUGUUUAUUGCAACAACUGUAGAAUCUCUAUAGCAGAUUUUCACAGAAGCUGCCUUAAGAUCCUAUAUGAAGAGUAUCCUGGUAAUGUGAGGCUGAAUUGGUCUGUAAUUUUGAGAAUUGAGAAGCCCAAAUAAUGUAAUUUAAACAUUAUUCUAUUGAAUAUUGUGUGAGAACUACUGUAUUAUUUAUCCUCUAAGCGCAUGUCAAUCAAUUUAUAAUUGUUGGCCGUACACGUGGUUGUAAAAGAGUACAAUUCUAU